RNAcentral lists this ribosomal RNA (253 nucleotides) under uncultured bacterium. Its description in RNAcentral is "partial 16S ribosomal RNA". It matches the Rfam family "Bacterial small subunit ribosomal RNA", at positions 524 to 776 of the family's 1533-position model. The record is from RNAcentral.
UACGUAGGGACCAAGCGUGGUUCGGAUUUACUGGGCGUAAAGGGCGCGUAGGCGGUGCGGUAAGGCACUUGUGAAAUCUCCGAGCUUAACUCGGAACGGCCAAGUGAUACUGCAGUACUAGAGUGCGGAAGGGGCAAUCGGAAUUCUUGGUGUAGCGGUGAAAUGCGUAGAUAUCAAGAGGAACACCUGAGGUGAAGACGGGUUGCUGGGCCGACACUGACGCUGAUGCGCGAAAGCCAGGGGAGCAAACGGG